Molecule: ribosomal RNA, 2235 nt
Filed under: Triticum aestivum (bread wheat)
Lineage: Eukaryota; Viridiplantae; Streptophyta; Magnoliopsida; Poales; Poaceae
Description: partial small subunit ribosomal RNA
Source: RNAcentral
AUGUCGGGUGCUGCACUGGUCGCGAUUGCGGCUUCCAUCGGCAAUCUGCUGCAGGGGUGGGACAAUGCCACCAUCGCUGGUGCUGUCCUGUACAUCAAGAAGGAAUUCCAGCUCGAAAAUAAUCCGACUGUGGAGGGGCUCAUCGUGGCCAUGUCGCUCAUCGGUGCAACCAUCAUCACCACAUUCUCCGGGCCAGUAUCAGACUGGGUUGGCCGGCGCCCUAUGCUCAUUCUCUCUUCGCUUCUCUACUUCCUCAGCGGCCUAAUUAUGCUAUGGUCACCCAAUGUCUAUGUGCUGCUCCUGGCACGCCUUGUCGAUGGCUUUGGUAUCGGCUUGGCUGUCACGCUGGUGCCUUUGUACAUCUCAGAGACGGCUCCUUCGGAGAUUAGGGGACGGCUCAACACGCUUCCACAGUUCAGUGGGUCAGGAGGGAUGUUCUUGUCAUACUGCAUGGUGUUCGGGAUGUCACUCUUGCCAUCACCUGAUUGGAGAAUUAUGCUGGGGGUUCUCUCAGUUCCGUCAUUGUUUUUCUUCAUCUUGACGGUAUUUUACCUGCCAGAAUCUCCGAGAUGGCUUGUCAGCAAGGGCCGAAUGGCAGAGGCAAAGAAGGUGCUGCAAAGAUUACGGGGAAGGGAGGAUGUCUCAGGAGAAAUGGCCCUUCUUGUUGAAGGUUUGGAGGUUGGAGGAGACACCUCCAUUGAGGAGUACAUAAUAGGACCAGCUAAUGACCCAGCUGACGAUCAUGUUGUUGAUGGCGAUAAUGACCAAAUAACACUAUAUGGGCCUGAAGAGGGCCAAUCAUGGAUUGCUCGACCUUCCAAGGGACCCAGCAUGCUUGGAAGUGUGCUUUCUCUUGCAUCUCGUCAUGGCAGCAUGGUGAACCAGAGUGUGCCCCUUAUGGAUCCUCUAGUCACGCUUUUCGGAAGUGUUCAUGAGAACAUGCCUCAAGUUGGAGGAAGCAUGCGGAGCACAUUGUUUCCUAACUUUGGCAGCAUGCUCAGUGUGGCAGAUCAGCACCCAAAAACUGAGCACUGGGAUGAGGAGAACGUUCAUAGGGACGAUGAAGAAUAUGCAUCUGAUGCUGGAGGUGACUACGAAGAUAAUGUCCAUAGCCCGCUGCUGUCACGACAGACCACAAACACGGAUGGGAAGGACCAUGGUCACCAUGGAAGCACUUUGGGCAUGAGAAGGAGAAGUCUCUUGGAAGAGGGUGGGGAGGCAGUCAGCAGCACUGGUAUUGGUGGGGGGUGGCAACUCGCAUGGAAAUGGUCGGAGCGACAAGGCGAGGAUGGCAAGAAGGAAGGAGGCUUCAAAAGAAUCUACUUGCACCAAGAGGGGGUGGCCGACUCAAGAAGGGGCUCUGUUGUUUCACUUCCUGGUGGGGGUGAUGCCACGCAAGGGGGCAGUGGGUUUAUACAUGCUGCUGCUUUGGUAAGCCACUCGGCUCUUUACUCCAAGGAUCUUAUGGAAGAGCGUAUGGCGGCCGGUCCAGCCAUGAUUCAUCCAUUGGAGGCAGCUCCCAAAGGUUCAAUCUGGAAAGAUCUGUUUGAACCUGGUGUGAGGCGUGCAUUGUUCGUCGGUGUUGGAAUUCAGAUGCUUCAGCAGUUUGCUGGAAUAAAUGGAGUUCUCUACUAUACUCCUCAAAUUCUGGAGCAAGCUGGUGUGGCUGUUCUUCUUUCCAAUCUUGGCCUCAGUUCAGCAUCAGCAUCCAUCUUGAUCAGUUCUCUCACCACCUUACUCAUGCUCCCAAGCAUUGGUGUAGCCAUGAGACUUAUGGAUAUAUCUGGAAGAAGGUUUCUGCUACUGGGCACAAUUCCCAUCUUGAUAGCAUCCCUAAUUGUUUUGGUUGUGUCCAAUGUUAUCAACUUGAGUACGGUGCCCCACGCUGUGCUCUCCACAGUUAGCGUCAUUGUCUACUUCUGCUGCUUUGUCAUGGGCUUUGGCCCGAUCCCCAACAUUCUAUGUGCAGAGAUUUUCCCCACCAGAGUCCGUGGUGUCUGCAUCGCUAUUUGCGCCCUCACAUUCUGGAUUUGUGACAUUAUUGUUACCUACAGCCUGCCUGUGAUGCUGAAUGCUAUUGGUCUAGCGGGUGUCUUUGGUAUAUAUGCAGUCGUUUGCUGCAUUGCCUUUGUGUUCGUCUACCUAAAGGUCCCAGAGACAAAGGGCAUGCCCCUCGAGGUCAUCACCGAGUUCUUUGCGGUUGGGGCGAAGCAAGCGCAGGCCACCAUUGCCUGA